RNAcentral lists this ribosomal RNA (1374 nucleotides) under Triticum aestivum (bread wheat). RNAcentral's name for it is "partial small subunit ribosomal RNA". Lineage: Eukaryota; Viridiplantae; Streptophyta; Magnoliopsida; Poales; Poaceae. The record is from RNAcentral.
AUGACCAUGGAGGCGGAGCGCGGGGCCGGCGAGGAGGAGGACGAGCCGCGGCGCCCUCUUCUCCCACCUUCGUCGCCAGCGGCGGAGCACCAGCAGCAGUACCGGCACCUGGGGCGGAGCAGCUCGUCGACGCUGCGCGAUGGCGGAGGAGGGUGGGCGGAGGUCAGCGCCACCGAGGUCAAGUCCGCCGCCUCCUUCUCCCCCAACUACUACCCCCCGGCGCCCAGUCCUCACCACGACGCCGUCUACCCGCCGUCCAUCCACAACGCCGUCCUCUCCCAAUCCCCGUCAACUGCUGCCACUCCUCCGCAUACGCAUGGUUUGGCGAUUGUUCCUCAAGGGCCGUACCCGUACGGCGGUGAUUACCAGCCUUCUCAGGGCGUCCGGAGGGAUGUACUGGAUGAGGUGGAGGUCCGGCAGAUGCUAAUCGAACAUGUUGGGCAUCGAUGUUGUUGGGGCAGCCGGCCUGCUCGGACAUGGAAAAUUACAUCCAUCAAGGACUGCUGUGACGUAUACGUUGGUACCUUGGAAACCUUCAUCGAGCAAAGAGACACCAUAUUUGAAAGGGAACCCUAUCAUGGUGGGGAAGUAGAUGGAAGAGACAAGGGUCCUGUCCUUGGUGUGUGGGAACUAGAUUUGAGGUCCGAGUUUCCUCCACUCUUUGUACCGGAGAAAGAAGUAAGGUUCAAGAUUCCUCAUUCAGAAUUCACUGAGAAGUGCUCAGAUUGCGAGGGUCGUGGGAAGGUACCAUGUCCUACUUGCAAUCCUGGUCGGCAGUACGGGUUUUACAUGGCAAAUCAAAUGACUCAGUGCAGUGUAUGUGAUGGCAGGGGUUCACUCGCUCAGCAAGAUGAAUCUGAUAAAGUAUGUUGGAUGUGCAAUGGUCAAGGAGUGUUGCCCUGCACAGAAUGUGGAUCCCGUGGCCUAGUAACAUGCCGGACAUGUAAUGGCUGCGGUUCCCUUCUUACACAAAGCAUUGCUCGCGUUCGAUGGGAGACGCUUACAGCGAGAAAAGUUAGUGCAACAGCAGAAACUGCUUCGGUCCCUGAUGAAGUUUUCCACAGAGCGCAAGGGGUGCAACUAUGCAACAUACAGGCAUACCAAUGCACUCCUGCUUUCUUUGCCGAUUCAUACCCACUCAACCAGUUGUCCUCGGAGGUUGUUGCUAGCCGGCUGCCAGUUCCACCAUCCGCAAUAGUCAUUUCGGAGAGACACAUCAUCUCGGUCGUGCCUGUAACCCGUGUCACAAUGUCGCACCGUAAGCGAUCUUUUAUCUUCUACGUCGUUGGCUACGGCAGGGAUGUUUUCGUGCGGAACUACCCUUCGAGGUUUUGCUGGGGCCUCUGUCGUUGCUUCGAAUGGUUGGGGAAUUAG